This 280-nucleotide ribosomal RNA is filed under the name uncultured Staphylococcus sp. RNAcentral's name for it is "partial 16S ribosomal RNA". It matches the Rfam family "Bacterial small subunit ribosomal RNA", at positions 82 to 354 of the family's 1533-position model. Lineage: Bacteria; Bacillati; Bacillota; Bacilli; Caryophanales; Staphylococcaceae. The record is from RNAcentral.
CUCCUUGACGUUAGCGGCGGACGGGUGAGUAACACGUGGGUAACCUACCUAUAAGACUGGGAUAACUUCGGGAAACCGGAGCUAAUACCGGAUAAUAUUUCGAACCGCAUGGUUCGAUAGUGAAAGGUGGUUUUGCUAUCACUUAUAGAUGGACCCGCGCCGUAUUAGCUAGUUGGUAAGGUAACGGCUUACCAAGGCGACGAUACGUAGCCGACCUGAGAGGGUGAUCGGCCACACUGGAACUGAGACACGGUCCAGACUCCUACGGGAGGCAGCAGGA